CAGAAUAAACUUGAUGGGUUGUAGCUGGUUCUCUCGGGAGCAUGUGCUCGCCUGUCGCUUUUGUUUUUCCACCUGUGCACCAUUUGUAGCCUUGGAAUUAUAAAACUAUCUGAAUGCUUUUCAGUAUGAGGGUUUGCUGGGCCACACUUGGCUAAGCUUCCCUUGCUGGUUUCAAGGCUAUGUUUUUAUACACCCCUGUAGUAUGUCUCAGAAUGAUAUUCAAGGGCCCUAGUGCCUAUAAAGUUUAUA
Molecule: unclassified non-coding RNA, 249 nt
Filed under: uncultured Descolea
Lineage: Eukaryota; Fungi; Basidiomycota; Agaricomycetes; Agaricales; Bolbitiaceae
Description: sequence contains ITS1
Source: RNAcentral